This 490-nucleotide ribosomal RNA is filed under the name uncultured bacterium. RNAcentral's name for it is "partial 16S ribosomal RNA". It matches the Rfam family "Bacterial small subunit ribosomal RNA", at positions 30 to 507 of the family's 1533-position model. The record is from RNAcentral.
AUUGAACGCUGGCGGCAGGCCUAACACAUGCAAGUCGAACGGUAACAGGAAGAAGCUUGCUUCUUUGCUGCCGAGUGGCGGACGGGUGAGUAAUGUCUGGGAAACUGCCUGAUGGAGGGGGAUAACUACUGGAAACGGUAGCUAAUACCGCAUAACGUCGCAAGACCAAAGAGGGGGACCUUCGGGCCUCUUGCCAUCGGAUGUGCCCAGAUGGGAUUAGCUAGUAGGUGGGGUAACGGCUCACCUAGGCGACGAUCCCUAGCUGGUCUGAGAGGAUGACCAGCCACACUGGAACUGAGACACGGUCCAUACUCCUACGGGAGGCAGCAGUGGGGAAUAUUGCACAAUGGGCGCAAGCCUGAUGCAGCCAUGCCGCGUGUAUGAAGAAGGCCUUCGGGUUGUAAAGUACUUUCAGCGGGGAGGAAGGGAGUAAAGUUAAUACCUUUACUCAUUGACGUUACCCGCAGAAGAAGCACCGGCUAACUCCGUG